This is a long non-coding RNA of Corythoichthys intestinalis (scribbled pipefish), 1650 nucleotides long. RefSeq lists it as uncharacterized. NCBI's taxonomy places the organism in Eukaryota, Metazoa, Chordata, Actinopteri, Syngnathiformes, Syngnathidae. The record is from RefSeq and is a predicted model, not a curated record. The transcript is spliced from 5 exons.
CAAUGAGCUUGCCUCUAUUUUUUUAAACACCAAGUUAAAUAUUGUGACGCAAUGCUAAUUUUCGUUAGCCUGUGAAUGAUAUCUCACGUCAUAUAGGCUGCAUUCAGCUCACAAGUUUCCAGUAACAAAAGAUUUCAAAGUGAACUUUUAUUUUGUAUUUAAUCUUACGGAACUGAUCGAUUUUAAAAAAUUAUUGGGUCUUUAAAUAUUUAUUUUCCUUUUAUUGAAAUCACAUUUGGCCACAGUGAAGCACCUUGGCGCUUCCCGGAAAAAAACUCACAGUAACAUACUCUAGUAGAAGAGAGUUGUAGAAGCUUUGUUGCUUAUUGCUUGUUUUUGUCAGCGUCCAAAUACUGUGACGUAAUUCUAAAGGUGAAUCCCAUUUCACCCCUUGGCCCUACCCCUUUCCCCUUCCCCUCCGUUUUGCGCGUUCACGUGUAGGGGGAGGGCUGUCCCAAUUCACGCUAAUGUGCAGGGGUAGGGGUAAGGGGGAGGGCUUUCCACCCCUCCAAACGGAGGGCCAUGACUACCCUCACUCCAAACGGAGGGUUACGCGAAAUUUCCCAGGGUGCAAAGCGAUUACCCCGAGAAUCAUUUCCAAAAUGGCGGAGCCAAGGAAAGAAGUACACAAAUGGAGUCAAGCACAAACAAAGAGCCUUACCAGGUUUGAGAACCAAGAACGGUUCUUGAAGUCAAAAGCCUCAGCCAAACAACAGUGGGAGAAGCUGAUCAAGGAGCUGGGGCUGCAGGGGAAGAUGUCCUCCCAGCAGGUCUCCAAAAAAUGGGAGAAUUAAAAAAAAAAAAAAAAAAGUACAAGGAGCUGAAAACUCCCUGCUCUGGGGGUGGGACAGAUGAAGGCCAGGAGACCGCCACAACGUGGCAAUAUUAUGAGGAUAUGCACGCGGUGCUGAGAGGAAGGGGAGCAAUGGACCCUCCACUCUUGGUGGAUGCAUGCGCAGAGGGGGAUGUCAUCAUCCAAAGUGCUUUGAACGUCGCUGAGCCCAGAAUGUGCCACGUGCUGUUCCUGCUCCAGUCACCCCACCAUCUCUUCAUUUUGUUUAUUGAUGGUUGUCUUAUAUUCAUUUUUUUAAUCUGGUCAUAUUCAUACUGUUUAUUUUCUGUAGUUGCACCACACACUUUCAGACACUUUAAGCUGUAAUUUGCACUAUGUUCACUAUUUCUGAAAAGAAGCUGCUAAUAAAAGAAAUAACAGUUUGUGAGCAUGAUUAUCACAUCAGCAUCAUAUGAAUGAAACGGAUAUUGGUUUGAAGAGAUUUAUUUUGUAAAAUAAAAAUGUGAUGCAUUAUAUUAGAAUGUAAUGGGAAAAUGGGAGAAAAAGCGUGAAAAAAAAAAAAAAAAAAAAUCACCAAAAAUUAUAUACAUUGCACAUCAACACACGAGCCACCACGAUGUAAGAGAGUCCAUGUGCCAACCAGUAUAUAUAGAUCAGGACCUCCAGUUGCCCGUCCCAACCAUGGUCCUGCUCUCUCUGCAGCAGCUUUUGGACAGCGUUUAUGGCUCUUCUGCUGAGGUGUAGGUCCCACCUCAAGUCCGCCUCAACAUUGAAUCACAACCUUAGAACAGGCAUAUUAUGUCCAACCGGCAAUAAUUUGUGGGAUGACCCAUUUGCUGGAAAGAAAAACAUGGAAA